GGAGAAGUGCAUGUAGAACAUGUGGUUGAGACAACAUACUUGUGCUCUCCAUAGGAGGAAGGGUAAGAGAAGAGAGGAUCCUGAAUUGGAUCCAAAGGGGAAGAUCUGAAUAAGCAUUUGGAUUGAGAGAGAAUGGUGUAGAGAGCGAGGAAAAGAGUUGUGAAGAGGUAUACCAGAGAAAAACAGAGGAGCUUGGAUUGGAAGAUUAGAGGUUUGGUAGUGGUAAAGCCAUUUUUGAUGUGUUUUGAUGUGAGAAUGCAGACAGUAACUUGUGUCUUUGCUAGCUGCAAGCCUUCCAGGCAAUGCUACUUUCUUCUUGACCUAUGUGGCUCUCAAAUUUUUUGUUGGCUAUGGUCUUGAGCUGUCCCGGUUAGUUCCUC
This is a non-coding RNA of Arachis ipaensis, 380 nucleotides long. The record is from RefSeq and is a predicted model, not a curated record. Lineage: Eukaryota; Viridiplantae; Streptophyta; Magnoliopsida; Fabales; Fabaceae.